RNAcentral lists this unclassified non-coding RNA (2453 nucleotides) under Cotesia glomerata. RNAcentral's name for it is "nucleoporin NSP1-like, transcript variant X5". The record is from RNAcentral. Lineage: Eukaryota; Metazoa; Arthropoda; Insecta; Hymenoptera; Braconidae.
UUUCGUCUUGAUUUAAGUUAAUUUUUUUUUAUAGCGCAUAAAUACAUAUUUUUGGUGGGGACACCCACAAUUCCUAAAAAAACUGUGAAAAAAAAAAUAUAUUUAUCAUCCGUAAUUUAAAAUCUUAAAUUUUGUCGCGGUACUGCGCAUGUAUUUCUCAAAUAUCAUCCCAUAGGUAGAGGAAAAAGCGCGCAUGCGGAUAAAAUUGACUUGUCUAAAGUAAGGCUCGCCAGAUUUAAGAACAUUUGUUGGAUUUGUUGCAAGACUAUUCAAUCCAAGGAUUGUGUUUCCUGUGAGUGUUAUUUUCACAUCAAAAAAUUAUCUUCGAAGUUUUUUGUGAGUUUAAUUAAAAUUUACAUAGAUUUCUUUUAUUUAUAAAUAAAUUAUAAAUAAUAUUGAAAUCUUGUGGUAUAACUAAUAAUUAUAAAAAGUAUUGUUAAUCUUCAUCAGAUAAUUAAAAGAAAUGGGUGGCUUAGUACAACGACAAUGGUCUCCAACAAAAAGACGAGGGCCGAUCAGUGCUGAAUUUCGAAGUCCCGGACCGGCAUGUGUUUCUCUUCCCACACUCAUAGGUAAAACUGUCCCCGAUUCGAAACGAGGUCGAGCUCCAGCGUUUUCAUUUGGUAGCCGACAUUCACUAAAAAAUGAAAGUCCAGGCCCCGGACCAGGACAAUAUAAUGUAUCUGGCUUGAGCGCAAAAGGAAAAAAUACUGCUCCAGCAUUGUCGCUACAUGGCCGUAAUAAAGUAGACAAAAUAGAAUCCACCCCAGCUCCAGGAGACUACGACCCUCAAAAAGCAGAAAGUAUAAUCCUAGAUAGUUCUCCAAAAUAUUCUUUUGGAGUAAAAGUACAAGUUGAUAAAGUUAACUCGACGCCUGCACCUGGAACAUACUACCCCGAAAAAGUAAAUUUCGAUAAAGCACCUGAAUAUAGUUUCGGCUCAAAAACAUCUAUUGAAAGUCGAAAUGAUACACCAGCACCUGGAACAUACUACCCCGAAAAAGUAAAUUUCGAUAAAGCACCUGAAUAUAGUUUCGGCUCAAAAACAUCCAUUGAAAGUCGAAAUGAUACACCAGCACCUGGGACGUAUUACCCUGAAAACGUGAAUUUAAGUAAAACAUCAGAAUUUAGCUUUGGCACUAAAACAAUUGUUAGAAAUCGAAAUGAUACACCGGCGCCUGGAACGUAUUAUCCUGAGAAUGUUAAUUUAGAUAAAACACCAGCGUAUACUUUUGGGUCAAAAACACCCAUUGAAAAUCGUAAUGAUACACCAGCUCCAGGAUUUUACUCUCCAGAAAAAGUAAAUUUAGAUAAAUCAUCAGAAUUCAGUUUUGGAUUAAAAACACAUAUUGUAAAUCGAAAUGAUACACCAGCACCUGGGACGUACUACCCUGAAAAAGUAAAUUUAGAUAAAACACCAGCGUAUACUUUUGGGUCAAAAACACCCAUUGAAAAUCAUAACGACACACCAGCACCUGGAACAUAUUAUCCGGAAAACGUUAAUUUAGAUAAAUCCUCAGAAUUUAGCUUUGGUUUAAGAACAGCUAUUAAAAAUCAAAAUGAUACACCGGCACCUGGGACGUACUUUCCUGAGAAAGUAAUUCUAGACAGCACACCGGCAUAUUCAUUCGGCGCAAAAACUUCUAUUGAAAAGUGUAACGAUACUCCGGCACCUGGAGCGUACUUUCCUGAGAAAGUAAAUCUAGAUAAAACACCAGCGUAUGCAUUUGGCGUUAAAACAUUUAUUGAAAAUCGUAACGAUACGCCAGCACCUGGGACAUAUUACCCGGAAAAUGUGAAUUUAGAUAAAUCAUCAGAAUUUAGUUUUGGUUUAAGGACAACAAUUAAAAAUCAAAAUGAUACACCGGCACCAGGUGCGUACUUUCCUGAGAAAGUAAAUCUAGAUAAAACACCAGCGUAUACAUUUGGCGCUAAAACAUUUAUUGAAAAUCGUAAUGAUACACCAGCACCUGGAACAUAUUACCCAGAAAAAGUAAAUUUAGAUAAAACAUCUGAAUUCAGUUUUGGCUUAAAAACAAUUGUUAGGAAUCAUAACGACACACCGGCACCUGGAACAUACUCUCCUGAGAAAGUGAAUUUAGAUAAAACACCAGCGUAUACUUUUGGCUCAAAAACACCCAUUGAAAAUCAUAAUGAUACACCAGCUCCUGGAUUUUACUCCCCGGAAAACGUGAAUUUGGAAAAGUCACUAAAAUUUAGCUUCGGCUUAAAAUUAUCACCCGAAAAUGGAAAUAAUUUUCCAGGAAUUUUAAUGACUUGAUAUCAUACACUAUCAAGAUUGUUGAAGAAAUCGUCUUUAAUGACUAAUGCUUUUCAUCUUUGAAACAUAAUAAUAUUUAUCAUGAAAAAGCACAAGCAACAUCUGUGACUAACUAUGAUUCUCCGAAUGUUUACACCAUACCUUCAGCAUUCGGCGCUACUAAAGAAGGCAA